GAAAGAAGAGUUUUCACUCUUUGGGAACACCAAAUUGAACAACUAUGAAGAAAAUCAACUUCAUAAGAACCUAUGAUCAGCAGGAUAAUAAAAUCACCAUCAUGAAGAAGCCGUCUCAUGAGAAAACCCACUAUGUGAACUCCCAACACUGCUGAAGAGUCACCACCUCUAGUUUGUCAGAUAAGCUCUUCAGAUGGCCAGUUGUCCCCUUCAGGAUCCUGGGAUGGGACCAUGUACGUCUAGCAAUAUAAAACUGGUACUGGCAUUACCAGCAGGUGCCCUUCUGAAAACCACUGGAAUGUCUCUGGCUCCUAAAAUAAGAUAAUUAGGUAGUAGAGUGCCCUGGGAUGUGGAAGCUUACCUUUCAGAACUAGACUUGGGUUCAUUCUCACCUGACUGCCUCAGCCACCUAGGAAACAUGACCCAGGUGACCAUUAUCUCAGAGGCUUCUGUCGGGCCUCUGCAGGAAUAAAUGCAGGCUAUUCUCUAGGCAAUCAAUGAGAAUAAGAGCCUCUAUACCUUUAUUGAAAGAGACAUUAACAACUGCUACUGGUUUAGUGAAAUGCAGGGUUCAAGGAAGGAGUCGAGGACCCAAUUGAAGAAAUAACAAGCAGUCGUGCCAGGAAUACAUCCCAAACCACAACCCUGUCUUGUACAUGGACACUCAGACAGUUUGCUUGCUCUAGGAGGUAGCAGAACUUAUCUGGCCACAG
This 713-nucleotide long non-coding RNA is filed under the name Pan troglodytes (chimpanzee). Its description in RNAcentral is "long non-coding RNA NONPTRT002301". The record is from RNAcentral. Lineage: Eukaryota; Metazoa; Chordata; Mammalia; Primates; Hominidae.